RNAcentral lists this transfer RNA (67 nucleotides) under Pteraclis aesticola (Pacific fanfish). Its description in RNAcentral is "tRNA-Cys". It matches the Rfam family "tRNA". Rfam says of the family: Transfer RNA (tRNA) molecules are approximately 80 nucleotides in length. Their secondary structure includes four short double-helical elements and three loops (D, anti-codon, and T loops). Further hydrogen bonds mediate the characteristic L-shaped molecular structure. tRNAs have two regions of fundamental functional importance: the anti-codon, which is responsible for specific mRNA codon recognition, and the 3' end, to which the tRNAs corresponding amino acid is attached (by aminoacyl-tRNA synthetases). tRNAs cope with the degeneracy of the genetic code in two manners: having more than one tRNA (with a specific anti-codon) for a particular amino acid; and 'wobble' base-pairing, i.e. permitting non-standard base-pairing at the 3rd anti-codon position. Lineage: Eukaryota; Metazoa; Chordata; Actinopteri; Scombriformes; Bramidae. The record is from RNAcentral.
AGCCCUAAGGUGUUAGUCACGUAAGAUUGCAAAUCUUAAGGUACAGAUUCGUUAUCUGCUGGGGCUU